CCUACGGGGGGCAGCAGUGGGGAAUAUUGGACAAUGGGGGAAACCCUGAUCCAGCGACGCCGCGUGUGUGAAGAAGGCCUGCGGGUUGUAAAGCACUUUUAGUGGGGACAUUUAACCUACAGAAAAAGCACCGGCUAACUCUGUGCCAGCAGCCGCGGUAAUACAGAGGGUGCGAGCGUUAAUCGGAAUUACUGGGCGUAAAGCGCGCGUAGACGGUUUUGUAAGUCGGAUGUGAAAUCCCCGGGCUCAACCUGGGAACUGCGUUCGAGACUGCAUGGCUAGAGUACGGUAGAGGGAAGCGGAAUUUCCGGUGUAGCGGUGAAAUGCGUAGAUAUCGGAAGGAACACCAGUGGCGAAAGCGGCUUCCUGGACCAGACUGACGUUCAUGUGCGAAAGCGUGGGGAGCAAACAGGAUUAGAUACCCUUGUAGUC
RNAcentral lists this ribosomal RNA (432 nucleotides) under uncultured bacterium. Its description in RNAcentral is "partial 16S ribosomal RNA". It matches the Rfam family "Bacterial small subunit ribosomal RNA", at positions 338 to 795 of the family's 1533-position model. The record is from RNAcentral.